AGACCAUGGCGGGGACAUCUUCUUUAAAGAUCCUUAAAUUUCUCCCAAGCUUCAUAUUAUAACUCGCCUUCAUGUUGAGUGAAACUUGUAAUAUCCAUGCGAAGUUU
Coffea eugenioides is the source of this 107-nucleotide small nucleolar RNA. NCBI's taxonomy places the organism in Eukaryota, Viridiplantae, Streptophyta, Magnoliopsida, Gentianales, Rubiaceae. The record is from RefSeq and is a predicted model, not a curated record.